GGCGGCAGCUACCAUGCAGUCGAGCGGAUGAGUGGAGCUUGCUCCAUGAUUCAGCGGCGGACGGGUGAGUAAUGCCUAGGAAUCUGCCUGGUAGUGGGGGACAACGUUUCGAAAGGAACGCUAAUACCGCAUACGUCCUACGGGAGAAAGUGGGGGAUCUUCGGACCUCACGCUAUCAGAUGAGCCUAGGUCGGAUUAGCUAGUUGGUGAGGUAAAGGCUCACCAAGGCGACGAUCCGUAACUGGUCUGAGAGGAUGAUCAGUCACACUGGAACUGAGACACGGUCCAGACUCCUACGGGAGGCAGCAGUGGGGAAUAUUGGACAAUGGGCGAAAGCCUGAUCCAGCCAUGCCGCGUGUGUGAAGAAGGUCUUCGGAUUGUAAAGCACUUUAAGUUGGGAGGAAGGGCAGUAAGUUAAUACCUUGCUGUUUUGACGUUACCAACAGAAUAAGCACCGGCUAACUUCGUGCCAGCAGCCGCGGUAAUACGAAGGGUGCAAGCGUUAAUCGGAAUUACUGGGCGUAAAGCGCGCGUAGGUGGUUCGUUAAGUUGGAUGUGAAAGCCCCGGGCUCAACCUGGGAACUGCAUCCUAAACUGGCGAGCUAGAGUAUGGCAGAGGGUGGU
This 624-nucleotide ribosomal RNA is filed under the name Stutzerimonas stutzeri. RNAcentral's name for it is "bacterial SSU rRNA". It matches the Rfam family "Bacterial small subunit ribosomal RNA", at positions 38 to 662 of the family's 1533-position model. The record is from RNAcentral. Lineage: Bacteria; Pseudomonadati; Pseudomonadota; Gammaproteobacteria; Pseudomonadales; Pseudomonadaceae.